GGUCACAGUGCUGGUUAGACUUGGGAUUCCCAUUACAUCUAGGCCCUGUUUGGGUCUUGACAAGUUGGUAUCAGAGCUUUAGUUUCAUGGUAAACUGGGAAGUCCACAAAACUAUGCCGAGUAGAGUCUCUUUUAGGGGUGUGUAGCACGCCAAACUCAUAAGAGAGAGGCUUUCAUACAUUUAGGAAUGUUUUACUUUCUUUAAAUUCUUAGUGCUGGAAUCCUCUAUACUCCUUAG
RNAcentral lists this long non-coding RNA (238 nucleotides) under Capsicum annuum. Its description in RNAcentral is "long non-coding RNA (CANN_LNC002619)". The record is from RNAcentral. Lineage: Eukaryota; Viridiplantae; Streptophyta; Magnoliopsida; Solanales; Solanaceae.